CUGUUAAGUGAGAAAAAAAGGCUCAUCAGUAAUAUGGGUGAGGGAUGAUAGUACCACUAGAGAAAGCACUGGCUAAUCUCGUGC
RNAcentral lists this ribosomal RNA (84 nucleotides) under uncultured bacterium. RNAcentral describes it as "partial 16S ribosomal RNA". The record is from RNAcentral.